Molecule: long non-coding RNA, 6806 nt
Organism: Motacilla alba alba
Lineage: Eukaryota; Metazoa; Chordata; Aves; Passeriformes; Motacillidae
Exons: 6
Source: RefSeq, a predicted model, not a curated record
AGCAGUGUGAUUUAGCAGAAUGAGAAUGGAUCAGUAGGAACCUACUUCAUCCUUACUUCAUCCACCUUCUACAGGGUGGAUUCCCCCUCUGUAUGAAGUCUGGAGCUUCUGUCAAGCUUUGAGUUUAUGGACUUUUCCUAGAGGAAGGCUCCUGUGGAUAUCCUGCAUUCCGUAUCUGAAGUGUGACAUUGAGCUCCUGUGUCAGGGAAACAGGGAGAAGGAAUUUGAAAAAAAAAAAUAGCAAGGCUAGUCUCUGAAUUUGUUUUGCCACUGCUCUUCAGAAGAUUUGUUGAGAUGGACUUGGAGUACCUGUUACCUUGACAACCAUAAAGAUGUGGCCAAAUACAAAUCUCUAGGAAUAAAAAAAAAAAUCUGCAGGACUGAGAACAAUGAGGUUACAAAGGGGAGAGUGGUUCCAAGGUUAUACCUCCAUCAGAAGCUUUGGCACCCAGUGCAGCAUCCAUGGAUGGAUGGGCUCUUCAACUUCGCACAUCAUGGAUACACCUGUGGCUUUCCUUUGGAGAGGUGAUACUACUGAAAAAAUUUGAAGCAAAUCUAUUUCACUCUUUUUGAUGAGGAAAAGAAGAAUAUAGCUUUACUGACAAGGAGCCCAACAAUACUGAAAGAGUAGCACCACAAUUACCUUAUCUCUUCAGGACAUAAAUUAGAUAAGUAUGGAAUCUGAAAAAUGGUAUUUUUGCAAAGCUCCAAACAUCUUGAAAAUAAUGAACUUAGUGUAAUCCAAUCAAAAACAUUUCUAACUUAGCUUUGUGUUUAAAAGUGUACUUUUCUUCAGCUAAGAAGUAUAUGUUUAAUUGAAGUGUGAGUCAGAGAGUGGCCCCACAGUUAUCUCUGUAAGACACAAUGAAACUGGAGAAAGCUGUAAAACUGAUUGAAGUUCAAAACUGUUCUAAUGAAUAGGUUUAUCCAGAAAGAACUACUUUGGUUUUUAAGGACAAAGAGCUGCUUUUUUUUAAUGUUGACGAAUUUGAAGCACUGCUGCCACCGAGACUGAGACACUUUCUUGAUAGUUAAAUGCUAUUUAAAGAUCACACAAAAAGCUAUCAAAGGAAAAACACAAAGAAAGGGCAUACAUUUGACUCUUUAAUGGAGGUGACCAAUAACAAAUAUAGUUUUUGUGGAGCUUGUAAGGAAUGUGAUUAUUUUAGAAGGUUGUGCAUGGAAAGAAAAAUAGGAGCGCCUGAAUCUGGUAACAGUUUGCAUUUAAUAAGUACUUUGUGUGUAAUAAGUGGCAUUAUUCGUAAUUGUAACAGUUGUAAUCUGAAGCCUUUAACUUAAGAUAUUUUGAUGUGACUUCAGAGAGUCAGAGCUAAAGGAUAUGGAAAUAGUUAUGUACUCCACAGCAGAAAUGAUUCUUAGGCUUUUGGUUAUGCAACCUCUGAAAUGGGGUUUAUCAGUAUUAAAAAAUACACAAAUUGUUAGAAUGACAAGUUUGAUAUUAGGAAACACGCCGCAUGAAAUAAGUAAGAGAAAGUUGAAUGAGUUUCAAUUAACCAAGUAAUAUUUCCAAAAUUAGUGGUUACUAGAUUUUUCUUUAAAGCAAAACCAAACUAUUAAAAAUAAUAUCUUAUAAUUUGCCAGUUGAUCACAACUUACAGUAUAUAGGUACUAUAUGUUUCAUUGCUUGCUAAAAUUAUUUUAAAACUUCUUGAAAAUAUUUGGAAACAUAUAAUUGUGCAAGUAAUAUUAUGCUGCCUGUGUUUUAUGCUGUGGUAACAAAAGUUUUAACUUUUUUUAGUUAAAUGCUGCUUAUCAUUCUAUGUGCUCUUAGUCAUGCUAUUUCAGCAUUUAACACAUUCUUUUUUCAUUGGUUAAUUUCCUGAAUUGUUGUUUGCUUUUUAAUUCUGCAGUCUUGGAUUUCAGUGUUCUUAUGUCUUGUCAGUAUCAGAGGUGUCUGUAUCCUUCAUUGAUUAAGUUAAUGUAGCAGCAGACUUAAGGAUGGAUUUCUGAUUAUUUCAUGCAUUUUCUGAGAUUGAGACACAUCAGACUGGAUGGCUCCUGUUGUCAGCUAUUUUCUUACUCUCAUCAGGUCAAAAUGGAGUUUUUUUGGUAUAAUUUGUAUUUAAUGACUUUAGAUUUAAUUUCCAAUCCUCUGGCAUCAAUGAUUGUGUGAAACAGAGCAUCAGAUAAAUACUACAAUCAGAUGAAGUCUGGAUUAGUAAAGUAUCAGGCUGAAAUAUAGGGUAUGCAAGUUCUCUUUACUCUUAGCCCAGUGACAGAGCUAGACAACUGCAAUCUUUUGAAUAACCUAAUUUUUUAACUUAACUAUUGAGAUUUUUUUUGUUUGCUUGGAGUUUUUUGUUUGUUUGUGUUUUUUGUAUUGUUUUGUUUGUGUCUUGUCUUCCUUUCAAAAGGAAGUAGCUCUGUUCUUUCCAAAAUUCCCGUGUGUGUGUAUAUAUAUAUAUAUAGUAUAAAGAAAAAGUGGUGUACUUUAAAAGCCUUAUGAAACAGAUCAGUAAUCUUAAAGGAGUGUUGAAAUAAACAGUUCUCUUUGAUCUAAAAGUAUAGCAAGAUAAAAUGUACAGAUGUUAACUCACAUUUCUAAUUUUUAAUCCUCCAUGAAGGUGAUUCCCUUUAUUUGAAUUACUCUCUGCACACCAGAAGUGCACUUAUGGAAUUAGGAAGAUUGGACCACUAAAAAUUAGUGAAAUUCUGAUAAUAUCCAGUUUUGAGUAAAAGCAUUAAAACAAAGUUUAAUAUGCUCCUCGUAAGUAGUAAUAGUAGUAUGAAAUUAAUUUCUUCUUGAUAUAUCCCAUCUUGAUUGCCUUAAAAUUUCGCUUUAAAUACCCUGUACUUGUGUUAAAAAAAUUAUUUCCCCCUUUUUAUUUUGAAAAAAAGUUGGUGUAUAAGUACAUUUGUUUGUGGGGAAAUAGAAGCAGACACCCUUCUACAUAAUUUUUAGGAACUGUUAUUUAAAUUGCUUUUUAAAAAUUCUGCCCAUGUCUUGAAUGGAAAUUUUAAUUAGGUUCUGGAUGCCAGUCUUGUAAUGUAAGGUAUAGUAUACACAGAAGCACAGAGGCUUCUUGUACCAAAAAUGUUAAAUUGUUUUUUUUUCAUAAUAACUGUGACCUUUUUAAACCAUUUUAAAAUGAGCUUCUUGGUUUCUUAAUUUUAUGUCAGAUUAUAUAUAAACUCUGUUGUUCUGCUUUGGAGAAAGUCAUGCAUAAUUUAGUAAUAAAACAAAUAUGCUUUGUUAUACUCUUUAAAAUCUUAGCAGUUCUAGCUCAUAUCUGAUGUGCAUGGGCACCGCAGUCACUAAGAGAUGCCACAGUUAGUGUUCUGCAGUGCACUUCACAUGAAUCUGUACAAUUCUAAGGGAACUUUAGAAUGCAUAGUACAUGCCUAUAUUCUUUUUUAUAAAACAUGUGUAUAUAGCAUGAGUCUCCUGAAGAAUCUGAUGAAUAGUUUCUUCCUUUGUAAAUUAAAGGGAAACAAAAUAAAAUCCUCCCUACAACUUUUAUGGUCCAUAUAUGAACUAAGAUGUAGACUAUACCUAGUUGUCAUUUCAUUUCAUAUAAUGAAAAUGCAUUUCUUUUCUAUCUAAUUGAGAAUUGGGAUGCCUUUAUAAGUCUGUUUUGGUGUCCCUGAGGACAUUGCCAGUGAAAAUGUAAAACCCACAUGGUCUCCACAACUCUCUCCUAAGACCAUGUUUUUGUCUUGGAAGUAACAGAGUGUAAUAUGAGAUACAGCAGUUGCCAAGGUAACUGUUCUUUUCCCAUUUAAUAGCAGCAGGUGAAUGGUUGCCUGGAUAUCCACAGUAAUUUGCUGGGGCUCUAGUAAUUCAUGAAGGAUGUACACAUUCUUUUCCAGGCUUGUUUUUCUCUCACAGAAGCUUUGACUAAAACCCCAAGGUACAUGAUAAGUAUUAAAAUAUUAUUCAAUAUUAUUAAAUAAUUAUUCUUCCUUUAGUGUUUUGCUUUAAAUAUUAAUAUUUUAAUACUGUUUUAAAUGCAGAAUAUUAGACCAAGAUCUUUUUAAAUUAUGAUACUUCUUUUCAGAAGAACUUAUUUUCUGAUUUCUUUUUUUUUUUUUAAUCUUGGUUUGCUAUUUCAAAACACUUCAGAAAUUUAACUAAUUAACACCAUAUUUAAGUCUGGAGCUAAUGAGACAAAUUUUCAAGGGCAAUUUCUGGUUUGCUUUUAUUGCAGUUUCCUUUAGUGAAAUCAUAAGAAAAUAAGAUGUUUGGAAAUAAGACUAGUCUCUCAUUCUUAUUCUACUGCAGCAUUCUCCUGAAUUUAAAAGGAAAUACACCCCACAAAGAGGUGUUCAGAUUUUUAUGGACUUUGAAAAUAGAUGGGAAAGUUCUCAUGAAAUGUGACAUAAUGAUUAUUUUCAGUGAUUAGAACAUAAGUCUUCAGUGCGUCAUAAUUAAGUUUUAAGUUUACUAUAUAAGACUGUUUUAUUCAGUCUGUUGGCAGGUUCAGAAAGCAUCUGUUGCAUCGUUUAUAACUCAGUUUAUUAGCUCAUUACAUACACAUAAUCGGAAUGGGAAGAAAAUCUUAAAUUUGAGACAAACAAAAUAUGUUUUACAGAUUUCACUUGUGCAUAAAUUUGGCCAUCCAAGCUCCUGAACAUGUCAUCUCUGUGUGGCAUGAAUUUCAGCUGUUAAGUACCUUAGAACUGAGAAAUCUCCUUGUAAUCUCUAAAUUUAGCACUCACUUUAUGUGAAAUAGCAUUGCUUAAAAAAUAUAUAUAUCUCUCUUCAAAAUUCUGUUGUUAUUGUGAAUGAUGCCACUGUACCCAAUUACUGACAUUGCAAACAAGAACAUAAGUAAUCAGCUAAAUAAAGCCAGCAGCCAUAUUUAUGAAGAGAAGGGCAAGACAGGUCAAAGCUGUUCCACCUUUAAGAAUUAGAUACAUACUCUCAGUGGAACUCUUCUGUGUAAUGGCAAUCAUGAUGUUCUGAGAGAUUUGAUGGAAGUCUUGUAUUUAUUUAAUUUCUAAAGGUUUUCUCUUAGAGCACUUGCUUUCUGAAAAGCAGAAUUAGUGCUGGAGAGGAGUCCUUUAAAGCUGACAGUGAAACUACUUGAUAACAGAAGUUUAGUCUGCUUUCUUUUGGUUACUGAAAUAAAAUGGAAAGUGUGUCAUUGUAAGGGAUAGACAAUUCUUGGCUCAGAAGUAAGUCAUUUUGCCUCCCUAAAAAGGGGUUGGAGAACAAGCAGAUUUUUUUUAGACAUCCAUCGUAGCCAAGACUACCACCUGACAGGUAGACUCAACAUCUUGACACUACUGUAAAUAUUAAUGAUAUCUCUGAUUUGUUUUGAUAGCCUUGUUGGAUGCUUAUUCACCAAAAGUACUUAUUUAAGUAGAUCAGACUCUUAGAAUUAGCAAAACUACUGCAAUUCCUAGUCUGAGGACACAUUUUUAUUGGGGUAUGUAACUUUGAACAGAUGUGAUAAUUGUUUUCUACUCCCUUCAUGACUUGACACCUGUACCUAAAGUGAAUAACAGCAGUGACCAAAGCACAGCUCUAAGAUUCUGAAUUGACUUGUAAGUUACCUGAAUUGCAGUAGUUUGUAACAAAUAAACCUCCUCAAGGCUUCUGGAGAAGCUUUCAUUAAAAUUAUUUUUUAAUGUUUAAUUAUUAAAAUAAAUUUCUCUCUCCUCCUAUAAAGAUUUCCAGAUUCAAGUCGGCUAUUAAACAAAGGUGAACCAAAAGAAUGUUAGUAGAGCUGCUAAUAAUUUCUGAACAAUAAAAAGAAAAUGCCUUAUUGAUACAUAUUUAUUCAAUCUGGUUCUACAUAUAAUGUUUUUGAUUUAUAAAGUCUCUCAAUAAUGGAAAAGGUUGGAAAAGACUGUCCUUCUAAGCUGUCAAACUAGUACUCCUGAUUAUUUCAGUAGGGCAAAACUGACCUUUCUUCAACAAUACCCUUUAAGUUUGCAGCUUCAGUACAGUUAAAUGUUAGAAACAAAAUUAACCCAACCACACAUAAAACAACAAACAAAACUGAGAGUACUUAGAUCCUUCUAUAGUUGCGUUUCUCUGUGUUAAUUAUAUUAUUUUCUCCCAUAGGUGUAAAAGGGCUUCUAGAAGCUGUAAGUACCAGGCAUAUGUUUUCGUCCAAGUAACAACUGCUGCAGAGGUGAAUCAUCAAACCAUCCAUGUGUUGUGUUUUCAAAAUACUUCUUAGUUCAUAGAAGUAAAGGUUGGCACUCGCUGGGAAUUUUAACAACUCUGGUGGAUCAAAUGUAUGAAAUACAGAGCUGGGAGUCCAGAAAAUAGCUUUGAAAGGAUUCAGCAUUACAUUUGCAUAGAAGAAACAGUGAUUUUUAUUUUUUUUUAAUUAUUAUGUUAACGGUUGGGUGCUUUUUGUGUAUGCGGAAGCUGCAGAACAGAUGUAAUAUUUACAAAAAGAUUAGCAACAUAGUAAUGCUUGAAAACACCCAUCUUGUGACAUGAGUGAUCUUUACAAAUUGUUAGACAACCGUGUGUUCUGCAGCAAACUUCUCAGCAUCUCACUUUAUCUACUCUUCUUGUGGCUGAUUUUUGAUAUCUAAAAGGAUAGGGUGGAGGUCACUAGAGAGCAACUUAAAAAACCCCUUUGAAGAAGAGUAAAAUUACAUAUGUAAAGCUUUCUUAGGUUAGUUGUUUCUUCCUUAAAAUAUGAGUGAAAAAGUUUUUAGUUUUAGCCUACGGAUUGAUCUUCUGUCAACAGUAAAUCAAUAUCAGAUAAAUUAAAAUUAUGUCUGAAUGUUUUUUAAAUAUACUAUAGAGUUUCAGUGCAACUUCUUAUAUAAAGUUGCACUUUUUUUCCUUAUUGAAAUGAUACAGAAGUAAUUUUACU